GACGAACGCUGGCGGCGUGCUUAACACCUGCAAGUCGAACGGAAAGGCCCUGCUUUUGUGGGGUGCUCGAGUGGCGAACGGGUGAGUAACACGUGAGUAACCUGCCCUUGACUUUGGGAUAACUUCAGGAAACUGGGGCUAAUACCGGAUAGGAGCUCCUGCUGCAUGGUGGGGGUUGGAAAGUUUCGGCGGUUGGGGAUGGACUCGCGGCUUAUCAGCUUGUUGGUGGGGUAGUGGAUUACCAAGGCUUUGACGGGUAGCCGGCCUGAGAGGGUGACCGGCCACAUUGGGACCGAGAUACGGCCCAGACUCCUACGGGAGGCAGCAGUGGGGAAUAUUGCACAAUGGGCGGAAGCCUGAUGCAGCAACGCCGCGUGCGGGAUGACGGCCUUCGGGUUGUAAACCGCUUUCGCCUGUGACGAAGCGUGAGUGACGGUAAUGGGUAAAGAAGCACCGGCUAACUACGUG
This 468-nucleotide ribosomal RNA is filed under the name uncultured bacterium. RNAcentral's name for it is "partial 16S ribosomal RNA". It matches the Rfam family "Bacterial small subunit ribosomal RNA", at positions 28 to 507 of the family's 1533-position model. The record is from RNAcentral.